RNAcentral lists this ribosomal RNA (505 nucleotides) under Erimiris tenuicornis. RNAcentral describes it as "partial large subunit ribosomal RNA". It matches the Rfam family "Eukaryotic large subunit ribosomal RNA", at positions 755 to 1243 of the family's 3401-position model. Lineage: Eukaryota; Metazoa; Arthropoda; Insecta; Hemiptera; Miridae. The record is from RNAcentral.
GCACUCCCGGGGCGUCUCUAUCUCAUUGCGAGAGGAGGCGCACCCAGAGCGCACACGCUGAUACCCGAAAGAUGGUGAACUAUGCCUGGCCAGGACGAAGCCAGGGGAAACCCUGGUGGAGGUCCGCAGCGAUUCUGACGUGCAAAUCGAUCGUCGGAGCUGGGUUUAGGGGCGAAAGACCAAUCGAACCAUCUAGUAGCUGGUUCCCUCUGAAGUUUCCCUCAGGAUAGCUUGCGCUCGAACCGAAACGAGUCUCAUCCGGUAGAGCGAAUGAUUAGAGGCCUUGGGGUCGAAACGACCUCAACCUAUUCUCAAACUCCAAAUAGAUGAGAACCCCGGCUUUCUUGAACGUAGUUUAUGAAGCCGGGGGCUUGGAUCAGAGUGCCAAGUGGGCCAAUUUUGGUAAGCAGAACUGGCGCUGUGGGAUGAACCAAACGCGGAGUUAAGGCGCCUCAAUCGACGCUCAUGUGAAACCAUGAAAGGCGUUGGUUGCUUAAGACAGCAG